GACGUUUCUUCAUCGAGUAAAUGGCUAAGAGUUUUAGAUUGCUAUUCUGAUCCUCUUGGAUGGAAAAACAAGUUAUUGGAGAGGGGAACUGUAAGAAAUCCCUACGAAGAGACCUUACUGAAAACUACCUUAUGUAAGAACUUGAAAGAAUUGGACAAGGUUUUGUCUUCCAUUAUUGAACUUGGAAAAGAAAUUGUUGAAGAGGGAAAAGGGAGAUUUGCAGUUGCAAUAGACUCGGUUAGUGAGAUCUUGAGACAUUCAUCUCUACCUUCCGUUGCAAGAAUCUUAAGUCAUCUUCGCAGUCAUGACCAGGUCUCAUGCAUAUUCUGCUUGUUGCAUGUGGACCUUCAUGAGGCCAAGGUGGCUGCCACUCUUGAAUAUUUGUCCACUAUGCAUGCGGAUGUGGAACCAAUAGUUCAAAGAACAAAUGGACAGAGAAACACCUCAGAGGACCUCCCAAUGGUGGAACAGUCCUUUAAGAGAGGAAAAUUUCAUGUACGCUUUAAACGCAGAAAUGGACGUGUCAGAGUGAUGAGG
RNAcentral lists this unclassified non-coding RNA (537 nucleotides) under Hevea brasiliensis (rubber tree). The record is from RNAcentral. Lineage: Eukaryota; Viridiplantae; Streptophyta; Magnoliopsida; Malpighiales; Euphorbiaceae.